UGGAGCUUGGCCAAGGGGUUCUGGGACCUGCGGCGGAGGGCUCAUGAGAACCGCCGGAAGCGCGCCGGGCGGCCCCCUCGGCGGGCCCGGGGCGCUUACUUCAUCUGGUACAGGUUGUUGGUGCCGCGGUGGUCGAUGUCGUGGCACAGGCCGGCGGUCACCAUGGCGAACGCCUCCAGUACUGAGUAAGAUUUCUUUGGAAAGUGCUGGCCAGCAGCCCCUGUUCUGCGGGAGAGCUGGGGGAAGAGGGUUCCCUCACUUGGGCUGUGGGGUGCCAGGCGCUGCCUGAGGAGUGAAGGUGCAAGCAGGGCAGAGGCCACAAAGCCACGGGAGGCAGGAAGGCCGCCCCCUCCUCCUGGGACACCUCCGAGGGGCUCUGUGCUCAAACCCACAGCAUGCCCGUGCCUCCCACGCGCUGACGGGCUGCUGCGGCCGCCUCUCCGCCAUUCCGACUCCCGCUAUUGCCCAGUGAGGCCUGAUGAUCACAUUGCCUAGAACUCCUGUUUUUUAAACUCUCCACCCAUCCAGUCAUCCAUCCAGUCAUUUUUAUUCUAGGCAUAUUUGCUGCGUGUAUUUUGCCUGUCCAUUCUGUAAUGAAAUGCCUGCCCGCAAACUUCCUGCAGGACUUGGGGCCGCUAACCACCUCUCUCCUGCCUUGUGGGGAUCUGGGACCCGGAAAUGAGUCCCCAUCCCACCUCCUGGUGGGUCUGGGACCUGCAGCCGCAACCACCCACCUCCUGGGGGAUCUGGAACUUGCGGACCACCCCCAGCUCAUAAUACAUCUGGAUGCCGCAUUUGACCAGCUCCAGCUCUGUGCACCCCAGGUCAGAGAAGUGGAACUCGUAGAUGUCGAACUUCUUGGGCCCCGGCAGCACUUCCUUCUGUGGAAGGCGUCACGGGACUGAGGAGCCGCCAACCAGCCCUUCACUUGCCCUGUCUCUUUCUCCUUCUCCCAAGGACCCUCUGUCCAGCCCCACAUGCUGCAGGUGUCCGGUGAUACCUGCCCUUCCAGUCCCUCUGGCCCGAAGCCUGGGACACCCACAUCCCCUGCUGGGUCAGCCAUCUUUCUCCCUUGCCCCCCACCCCCAGGCCCUUCCAGUACCACCUGGGGGGAGGAGCCAGCCUCUGACCAAGAUUUCCCCCAGCUCAUCCUCCUCACAGUCAGCAGGCUCCUUCCCCAGGUGCUCUUUGGUUGGCUAGGAGAGAAAACAGGUGUGAUAUGAGUCAAGGUGACAGUGCCGGCUCCACCCCUCUGACUGUGGGACAAGGUGACAGCAUCAGCUCCACCCCUCUGACUGUGGACAAGGUGACAGCGCCGGCUACACCCCUCUGACUGUGGGACAAGGUGACAGUAUCGGUUCUACCCCUCUGACUAUGGACAAAGUGACAGUGCUGGCUACACCCCUCUGUGGGCAAGGUGACAGUGUCAGCUACAACGCUCUGACUGUGGGACAAGGUGACAGUGUCAGCUACAACCCUCUGACUGUGGGACAAGGUGACAGUGCCGGCUACACCCCUCUGACUGUGGGCAUGGUGACAGUGUCAACUACACCUCUCUGACUGUGGACAAGGUGACAAUGCUGGCUACACCCCUCUGUGAACAAGGUGACGGUGAUAGCUCCACCCCUCUGACUGGGGACAAGGUGACAGUGCUGGCUCCACCCCUCUGACUGUGGACAAGGUGACAGUGCCAGCUACACCCCUCUGUGAACAAGGUGACGGUGACAGCUCCACCCCUCUGACUGGGGACAAGGUGACAGCGUCGGCUACAUCCCUCUGACUAUGGACAUGGUGACAAUAUCAACUACACCUCUCUGACUGUGGACAAGGUGACAGUGCUGGCUACACCCCUCUGCCUGUGGACAAGGUGACAGCAUUGGCUCCACCCCUCUGAUUAUGGACAAGGUGACAUCUGGCACAAAGGAAUAAUGACCCCCUUGGGAAGCCCCAGCUGGAGCCUUCAGUCUCCGAGGUGUCGGCAUUCAGCACAGACCAGCCCAGGAACUGCGUGAGGGACUGCAGAAAGCGGUGUCACCCACCCAGGGCACCAUGCACACCAGGCCCUGCGCCCUGAGUGCAGGCCCCAGGCAUGCCACUCCACUGCAGCAAGUGCUAACGGGGCCUCGGGUGCUCCCAGGAACGGGCCCACAGCCCCUCCUGUCCCCUCCCUGCCCAGGCCUCAUGCUGGGUCAGGGGAAAGCAGAUGGUGGGGAGGGAUCCCGAGUCACCGUCUCCCAUACCUUCACACGGUGUCACCCCCAGAGCCACACCUGUGACAGGUGUUUACCUCCAUGAGGACUUCAUCCUGCUCAUCAAAGGGCUUCCCAUCUUUCCUGUUGUAAAACGUUGCAACCCCCACAAUCUCCUCUUUCUUGUUGACAAUGGGCAUGGAGAGGACAUUCUUGAUGACCCACCCAGAGUCAUCCAGAGGCUCUUCCUGCAGGGAGAGGCGUGCAGAGAUGACCCUGCUCUGGGGCUGGCCCAGGCUUGUCACCCGGUGUGAGCCUCAUUUCUUCCGCUGGGUCACUGCCCCAUCUGCUCACUCCCCCUGUGCGUACAGCUUUCUGUCUGUGGGUUUGUGUGGUGUCUUCUCUCCUAGAGAAUAGGGUGUUUUCCCACCAAGGUGGCCUCAGGGUCCUGCUCUUAAGAUAGCUUGGCUGAGUGCUUCACCAUGCAUUCUGAAGCUCUUAGUAAUUGUGAACAGGGGCCUCACAUUCCUAACCCACCAGGCUCUACAAACUACGCAACUGAUGCCCAGCCUGUGAAAUAAGGACACUGUCCAGUUCCUGGUGGAGCCCUGUGAACACAAAGCCCAUUUCCUCCAGUCAGCCUGGCCUCAGCCUCCUCCAGAAAGAAGCAGCUCUGGUGACGUGUCCCCAGAGGAAAGAGCAAGGACCAGACCUGCAGCCCUGGGCCCAGCCAGCCUGCGGACCCGGACACAUGGAACGCACAUUUCUUGUUAUUAGCUACUGAGAUUUUGAGGUUGUUUCUCAAGCAGCAAAAAUCAAUUCAGUCCCUCG
This is a long non-coding RNA of Manis pentadactyla (Chinese pangolin), 3020 nucleotides long. RefSeq lists it as uncharacterized. The transcript is spliced from 3 exons. The record is from RefSeq and is a predicted model, not a curated record. NCBI's taxonomy places the organism in Eukaryota, Metazoa, Chordata, Mammalia, Pholidota, Manidae.